CAGUCGCCGCGGUAAAACGAAGGGUGCAAGCGUUAAUCGGAAUUACUGGGCGUAAAGCGUGCGUAGGCGGUUUGUUAAGUCUGUUGUGAAAUCCCCGGGCUCAACCUGGGAAUGGCAAUGGAUACUGGCAAGCUAGAGUGUGUCAGAGGAUGGUGGAAUUCCCGGUGUAGCGGUGAAAUGCGUAGAGAUCGGGAGGAACAUCAGUGGCGAAGGCGGCCAUCUGGGACAACACUGACGCUGAGGCACGAAAGCGUGGGGAGCAAACAGGAUUAGAUACCCCUGUAGUCCCUGUCUCUUAUAC
This 301-nucleotide ribosomal RNA is filed under the name uncultured bacterium. RNAcentral describes it as "partial 16S ribosomal RNA". It matches the Rfam family "Bacterial small subunit ribosomal RNA", at positions 509 to 807 of the family's 1533-position model. The record is from RNAcentral.